RNAcentral lists this ribosomal RNA (1540 nucleotides) under Klebsiella pneumoniae. RNAcentral describes it as "16S ribosomal RNA". It matches the Rfam family "Bacterial small subunit ribosomal RNA". The record is from RNAcentral. Lineage: Bacteria; Pseudomonadati; Pseudomonadota; Gammaproteobacteria; Enterobacterales; Enterobacteriaceae.
AAAUUGAAGAGUUUGAUCAUGGCUCAGAUUGAACGCUGGCGGCAGGCCUAACACAUGCAAGUCGAGCGGUAGCACAGAGAGCUUGCUCUCGGGUGACGAGCGGCGGACGGGUGAGUAAUGUCUGGGAAACUGCCUGAUGGAGGGGGAUAACUACUGGAAACGGUAGCUAAUACCGCAUAACGUCGCAAGACCAAAGUGGGGGACCUUCGGGCCUCAUGCCAUCAGAUGUGCCCAGAUGGGAUUAGCUAGUAGGUGGGGUAAUGGCUCACCUAGGCGACGAUCCCUAGCUGGUUUGAGAGGAUGACCAGCCACACUGGAACUGAGACACGGUCCAGACUCCUACGGGAGGCAGCAGUGGGGAAUAUUGCACAAUGGGCGCAAGCCUGAUGCAGCCAUGCCGCGUGUGUGAAGAAGGCCUUCGGGUUGUAAAGCACUUUCAGCGGGGAGGAAGGCGUUAAGGUUAAUAACCUUGGCGAUUGACGUUACCCGCAGAAGAAGCACCGGCUAACUCCGUGCCAGCAGCCGCGGUAAUACGGAGGGUGCAAGCGUUAAUCGGAAUUACUGGGCGUAAAGCGCACGCAGGCGGUCUGUCAAGUCGGAUGUGAAAUCCCCGGGCUCAACCUGGGAACUGCAUUCGAAACUGGCAGGCUAGAGUCUUGUAGAGGGGGGUAGAAUUCCAGGUGUAGCGGUGAAAUGCGUAGAGAUCUGGAGGAAUACCGGUGGCGAAGGCGGCCCCCUGGACAAAGACUGACGCUCAGGUGCGAAAGCGUGGGGAGCAAACAGGAUUAGAUACCCUGGUAGUCCACGCCGUAAACGAUGUCGAUUUGGAGGUUGUGCCCUUGAGGCGUGGCUUCCGGAGCUAACGCGUUAAAUCGACCGCCUGGGGAGUACGGCCGCAAGGUUAAAACUCAAAUGAAUUGACGGGGGCCCGCACAAGCGGUGGAGCAUGUGGUUUAAUUCGAUGCAACGCGAAGAACCUUACCUGGUCUUGACAUCCACAGAACUUUCCAGAGAUGGAUUGGUGCCUUCGGGAACUGUGAGACAGGUGCUGCAUGGCUGUCGUCAGCUCGUGUUGUGAAAUGUUGGGUUAAGUCCCGCAACGAGCGCAACCCUUAUCCUUUGUUGCCAGCGGUUAGGCCGGGAACUCAAAGGAGACUGCCAGUGAUAAACUGGAGGAAGGUGGGGAUGACGUCAAGUCAUCAUGGCCCUUACGACCAGGGCUACACACGUGCUACAAUGGCAUAUACAAAGAGAAGCGACCUCGCGAGAGCAAGCGGACCUCAUAAAGUAUGUCGUAGUCCGGAUUGGAGUCUGCAACUCGACUCCAUGAAGUCGGAAUCGCUAGUAAUCGUAGAUCAGAAUGCUACGGUGAAUACGUUCCCGGGCCUUGUACACACCGCCCGUCACACCAUGGGAGUGGGUUGCAAAAGAAGUAGGUAGCUUAACCUUCGGGAGGGCGCUUACCACUUUGUGAUUCAUGACUGGGGUGAAGUCGUAACAAGGUAACCGUAGGGGAACCUGCGGUUGGAUCACCUCCUUA